This 257-nucleotide long non-coding RNA is filed under the name Mytilus galloprovincialis (Mediterranean mussel). The record is from RNAcentral. Lineage: Eukaryota; Metazoa; Mollusca; Bivalvia; Mytilida; Mytilidae.
UAAAAAAUGUAAUUAUAAGUAUUGAAUGCUUCUUUUUGUAACUUUAUAGGGUUGUAAAAGCGUUGACCGUGCAUACAUUUUUAGAAUGACGCUUCCACGUUCAACAAAAUGUACUUCGUCAACGCUUUUACACCCCAAUAAAUUUACAAAAAGAAGCAUUCAAUUCUUAAAUGAAACAGCCUUCAAAACUUUUAAGGUGUUUGUCAUCACUACAAAACCAGAGGAUCCAAAAAAGUCUUCAAAACAGAGUACAACCC